This 440-nucleotide ribosomal RNA is filed under the name Erwinia sp. AE_55. RNAcentral's name for it is "bacterial SSU rRNA". It matches the Rfam family "Bacterial small subunit ribosomal RNA", at positions 19 to 457 of the family's 1533-position model. The record is from RNAcentral. Lineage: Bacteria; Pseudomonadati; Pseudomonadota; Gammaproteobacteria; Enterobacterales; Erwiniaceae.
CUGGCUCAGAUUGAACGCUGGCGGCAGGCCUAACACAUGCAAGUCGAACGGUAGCACAGAGAGCUUGCUCUCGGGUGACGAGUGGCGGACGGGUGAGUAAUGUCUGGGAAACUGCCCGAUGGAGGGGGAUAACUACUGGAAACGGUAGCUAAUACCGCAUAACGUCUUCGGACCAAAGUGGGGGACCUUCGGGCCUCACACCAUCGGAUGUGCCCAGAUGGGAUUAGCUAGUAGGUGGGGUAAUGGCUCACCUAGGCGACGAUCCCUAGCUGGUCUGAGAGGAUGACCAGCCACACUGGAACUGAGACACGGUCCAGACUCCUACGGGAGGCAGCAGUGGGGAAUAUUGCACAAUGGGCGCAAGCCUGAUGCAGCCAUGCCGCGUGUAUGAAGAAGGCCUUCGGGUUGUAAAGUACUUUCAGCGGGGAGGAAGGCGAUGG